GAAUAUUGCGCAAUGGGGGAAACCCUGUCGCAGCGACGUCGCGUGAAGGAAGAAGGCCUUCGGUGUGUAAACUUCUUUGAUCGGGGACGAAGGAAGACGGUACCUGAGGAACAAGCAACGGCUAACGACGUGCCAGCAGCCGCGGUAAUACGUAGGUGGUGAGCGUUGUCAGGACUUACUGGGCGUAACUGGCGUGUAGGCGGGGGGACAAGUCAGAUGUGAAAUACUGCAGCUUAACUGCGGGGCUGCAUCUGAAACUGUUCUUCUUGAGUGUCGGAGAGGAAAGUGGAAUUCCCAGUGUAGCGGUGAAAUGCGUAGAGAUUGGGAGGAACACCAGUGGCGAAGGCGGCUUUCUGGACGACAACUGACGCUGGGGCGCGAAAGCGUGGGGAGCAAACA
This 399-nucleotide ribosomal RNA is filed under the name uncultured bacterium. RNAcentral describes it as "partial 16S ribosomal RNA". It matches the Rfam family "Bacterial small subunit ribosomal RNA", at positions 359 to 774 of the family's 1533-position model. The record is from RNAcentral.